RNAcentral lists this ribosomal RNA (468 nucleotides) under uncultured bacterium. Its description in RNAcentral is "partial 16S ribosomal RNA". It matches the Rfam family "Bacterial small subunit ribosomal RNA", at positions 28 to 507 of the family's 1533-position model. The record is from RNAcentral.
GACGAACGCUGGCGGCGUGCUUAACACAUGCAAGUCGAACGGAAAGGCCCUGCUUUUGUGGGGUGCUCGAGUGGCGAACGGGUGAGUAACACGUGAGUAACCUGCCCUUGACUUUGGGGUAACUUCAGGAAACUGGGGCUAAUACCGGAUAGGAGCUCCUGCUGCAUGGUGGGGGUUGGAAAGUUUCGGCGGUUGGGGAUGGACUCGCGGCUUAUCAGCUUGUUGGUGGGGUAGUGGCUUACCCAGGCUUUGACGGGUAGCCGGCCGGGGAGGGUGACCGGCCUCAUUGGGACUGAGAGACGGACCAGACGCCUAUGGGAGGCAGCAGGGGGGAAUAUGACACAAUGGUCGGAAGCCUGAGGCAGCGGCGCCGCGGGCGGGAAGACGGCCUUCGGGUUGUGAACCGCAGUCGCUUGUGACGAAGCGGGAGUGACGGUAAUGGGUAAAGAAGCACCGGCUAACUACGUG